RNAcentral lists this long non-coding RNA (2334 nucleotides) under Sus scrofa (pig). RNAcentral describes it as "lncRNA (ENSSSCG00015024431.1)". The record is from RNAcentral. Lineage: Eukaryota; Metazoa; Chordata; Mammalia; Artiodactyla; Suidae.
UUUUUUUUUUUUUUUCUUUUGUGGGCAGAGGCACUAAGGUAGACAGAUGUCACCCAGAUACGCAAUAUGUAACCAGAAGUUAGUUCCAAUCAAGGGCUCUUGGCUAGGGUGCUCUAAAUCUAGGGUGGACCUAUGUUGCUGUCCAUGCAUCAUUUCUCACAAGCCAUGCUGUGGGCUGACUCAGCAUCCAUCCCAGGGCAUCAGUUAGUCAGUUAACCAACACUGAACAUCUGCAAUGGGGCAGAUACUGUGUUAAGCUCAGGAGGACACCCAAAGAGGGUAAGUAAGAUUUGAUCCCUCAAGAAGUUUUUACUCUAGGGAGGAGAUAAGACAGAUGCAUUUGAAACUACAACUAACUGUACAAUGUAGCUCUCUGUCUUCAGGUAGAGUUAAGACCUCUGAAUGGAAAUGCUAACGUGGGUCAGAGUAUAUUAAUCACCCUCAUACCCCUUUUCCUCUUAUAUUUACUAAAGCAAUCUCCCAAGUUUCAGGUGGGCAUAUGACCCUCCAACAGAAGACCAUUGCCCAGUCAUGUUANCAGCUCAGUAUGGUCAUGAGACUAUGUUCCAGUAAAGAAGUGGAAAUGAAGUAUUCAUUUUCCAGGUCUCUUUAAAAAAAAAAAAUGCUUGCUUUCCACUUUUUCUUUCUUUUUUCCUGUAUGCUGGAACAUGGAUGUGGUAGUGAUAGACAAAUUUGACUAUUCAGAAGAGAGCAUCACCAUAGGGAAUAGCUGAGCAAAAAGAUGGAUGGAAUCACGGUCCUAGAUGACGUAGAAUAGAGUGAUCUACUGUCUUGAACUGCCGUCUACUCUGAUUUAUUAGGUGAGAGAGGAAGUUCUAUCUUGCCUGAGUCACUGUACUUUGGGCUUAGCUAUACCCUAAUAAAAGUUAUUAUAUAUUAAGAUACAGAUAGCUUUCCAUCAUGGCUCACUCAUUUAUUCACUCAUUCAUUAAAUGUUUGUAGGCAACUAUAAUGUAUCAGAUGCUGUGCAAGGUACCCUCACAUACCCUACCAUAGUUAAUGCUUAUAAUGAUACAAAGCCCAAGGUUACAGCCAUCCUCAUUACACAGAUGAGGAGAUGGUGACUAUGAGGUGUACAGUAACUUGCUGGAGGUGACACAGCUAAUAAAGGGCUGGUCAGGGAUCAAAAUGAAAACCUACUGGCUGUCUAAAAAUGUUACAUUCCUUCCACUAUAGCCACAUAGGACUGAACAAGAGCUAGGGAUACUAAAUUAUAAAACAUGAAGACAGUGUCUUCAUCUUGAGAAAUAACACUGUGAUUAAGGAUCACGAAACAAUGAGAGUAUAAUGCAAGAGUAAACCCAAUUGCACAGUUAAUUAUGCAGUAAAAUCAACAAGCAAUUAUGAUUUAAGCUGUCAUAACAGAUCCACCUUGAAGGAGGCUGGUCUGUGUUGGAAGGCAAAGUGUUCCUGAGGUCCCCUUGGAAGAGACAUUAGGAGGGGCUAUUCAGAGGAGCCCUGCCCUCUAAAUAAAGAGUCAUGAUAAACUGGCCCUCAUCAUCCAACAUGCCUAUAUUUAUUAUGUGUAUGUAAGUACAGCCUAUAGAAAUGGAAAUAAUAGUCAUUAACCAUCAGGAAUAUUCACCAGUGGGAAAGCACAUAAUUUAUAGGCAGUGGCUGUGAGAAUCCUCCCGCUCAUCCCGAAUGGCCAUAAAUUACAGAAGGAGAUACACAGAUAACAAUUCUUCAGACUUGAGAAAGGCGAGAACAGUUUUAUAUUAUGUAAUUACCUAAACCCACCAUCCACCACACUCACACCAGAGAUUUACGGCAACAAGAAAGCCAUGUGUGGGCCCUGGGGCAUUUUCUCCUGAUUUAUAAGGAGAUGUUCAGAACGGGAGAAAGGGCCAAUGAUAGCUCUGCCAUGGUAAGAAUAAGACUGAGAGGGACUGAGCCUGCUCCUGCCUAAGAAGCGGAUGGUGAAAGAUGAGAGGAAAACUAGAACUGGUUGGCCCUUCAGCACUCCCUCAGCCCAUCCCCCAACCCUGUGUCAUACCACUACUCAUUGGCCAGUAGGUCUUUACCUCUGUGUGUGCCACAUGCGAUGCUCUGGGCACUUACGAGAAGAGACUCUAUGUAGGAGGAAAGCACAGGCUUUGGAGCGAUUCCACCUUGAAUUCAAGUCUACAUUCCAGCAUCCAAUGGCUUCAGAACCUUGGAGUUGCUUAGCCUGUUUCCUAUAAAUGCUAAGGUCAAUAUGAUAUCCAUCUUGCAAGAUUAGCAUACUGAUUAAAUCUGAUAAUGUUUAUGACGUACCUUUCAUUCAAUACAUGCUGCUUGAUCCCUCUCCCAUAUCCUUUUUUUUUUUAACCA